Molecule: transfer RNA, 57 nt
Filed under: Muntiacus reevesi (Reeves' muntjac)
Lineage: Eukaryota; Metazoa; Chordata; Mammalia; Artiodactyla; Cervidae
Also listed under: 6 other names
Rfam family: tRNA
About the family: Transfer RNA (tRNA) molecules are approximately 80 nucleotides in length. Their secondary structure includes four short double-helical elements and three loops (D, anti-codon, and T loops).
Source: Rfam by way of RNAcentral
UAGCUCAGUUGGUAAAGCAUCUGCCUGCAAUGCAGGAGACCCUGGUUCAAUUCCUGG